Molecule: long non-coding RNA, 2507 nt
Filed under: Oreochromis niloticus (Nile tilapia)
Lineage: Eukaryota; Metazoa; Chordata; Actinopteri; Cichliformes; Cichlidae
Description: lncRNA (ENSONIG00000033285.1)
Source: RNAcentral
GUCAUGAGGAGCUGGACUCUAAUCUAACACAUUUUCUGUUCAACCAAUGCAGUACAAACCAUGAAGGCGUGUCGGCACCUGCAGCCAAAACAUAAAAAUCAACAGAGGCUGCUCAGUAUUGCACAGAAGAAAGUGAGCUGCAGACUGAAGCACGGUGGUGAUGAACAUUUGGGAGAAGAUGAUCUGCAGGACCCUGCUGCUUGUCAUCCUCACCUCAUGUGUCUCUGGAUCAUUUGUAGUCAAUGUGACACAGACCUCCUAUCAGGCAGAGGAGAACCACAACAUCACACUGGAAUGGACGUUCACAACCCAACCUGACAGAUCCCCCAAAACUCUCAACAUCCUCUGUGAAUUGAUAACUGAGCAUACAGAUUCAGUCCUGUAUCGUGUUCGUGAAGGUGUUGAGGUGUCAGAGUCUCAGGAUGAAAAGUUUUCAGGACGUGUUGAGAGUGACAAAGACAGCCUCAGAGAAGGACGAAUCAGACUUCAACUGUUUAGACUCAGGACUGAUGACUCGGGUCUGUACCUGUGUGAACUGAACACAGAUUAUGGCUUUGGCUCUGCCAGAUGUCGACUCAGCAUCACUGGUUCGGAUGACCCCAAACGUCAAAGUCCAACAGUGAACACACAACCAGAGAGUCGAGGAUGGCUCAACCUUCACCACCUAGGCAGCGACUGCAGUGAAGCAGUGGUCAACUUGAAUAAUUCAGAUGCCACUCAUCUUGCUGCUUCAUUAGAAGCCACAUCCACCAUCUUCAUCUGAGUGUGGACAUGACUUCCCUGAACCCCAAAGAUUGUCAUGUUAACAGCUGGGUCUGCAGUGGAAGCUUUGUGGAAGCAUCAACCUCAGUCUGAACUGAGAAACACUGUCUGCAGUCUGCAGCCAUCAUCGCAAACACUGAUGGAAACAUUUAAAGCUCGUAUCACACAUAUCAUUAAUAACAUUUCUUUCCUCUUUUGGUUCUAUCAUUUGUCUCUGUCAGAUAUUGUCUGAGGAAUCUUUAUUAUUUGGCCAUUAAGUAUGCAGAGCGAUUGAAAUCACUUGUUGUUCUCCCAUCAGCUGUUAUCAACAAUUACUGUUUAAAAUGUGCCUGAACUCAAGAAGUUAAAAGAAUUCAAAGUGUUACAAUGAACUCCUAAUAAUUUGACUAUGGAUCGCCAUAGUUAGAAUGUACUUUUCCUAAAGUUAAUGUGUAUGUGUAUAUAUUGUAAACAAAUCCUUAUUUAUAUGAAAGAAGUUAUGAUUCUUCUGUGUAUGCGUGUGUCCAAAUCAUUUUAUCAAUGAGCCAGAAGAUCUUUGAGAGAUCUACCAAGUGUAAUCUAACAUGUUUGCUACUAUUAGUUCACAAGGUGUAAAACAGCAAGGGCAGGAGUUUGAUAAUUAUUUAAAAUAUAUAAAACACUGAAUGUGUAGAUAUAAACCAACACUCAUUAUAAUUCAGAGUUGUUCAUGCCAACUCUUAAUCAUAACAUUAUUCUAGUUAAAUAAUAUUUAAUUGGAGUUGAAAUGACUGUUUUACUCUCAGCACUGAAAACACUUUGAUUCUGCUGAGUUUGUCUCCUGUCAGCUUCUGUCUCUGCUUUCAUAAAAUAAAACAAUCGAUCUUUGUGAUCAACAACACAAACAAUGGUGGUGACAUUUCUGACGAAAAAUACUGCAGCAUGGUGUUAACAGCUACAUGUAAUCUCCCAUCAUGUUCACUGCAUUUGUUGACAUGAGUAGACAGAUAACAGUUUUCUGUUUUAUCACAUUUGUUCUUGUGUUAUAUUGGGACAAUUGUCCAACAGGCACAUGUCCAGGGUCUAUCAAAGGACAAUAACAAACAAACAAACAAACCCUUCAAAUAUCUAGUUUUCUCAAGAUGGUCUAUAUGCAAAAGACUCUGAUUUUUUAAGAGAUGUCUGUUGCUGGUAGUAUAACAGCUGGCAGACCUUGCCAUCUAUCAGCUGACCGGGCUAUCAGGGCUCAUGAUACCCACCUACAAUGUUUCACUGAACUGGUUUUCAACUGGUUUUAACUGGUUAUGGAUGUCAACCAACCAGUUGUGACAGAUGGCCGCCCCUCCCUGAGCCUGGUUCUGCAGGAGGUUCCUUCCUGUUAAAAGGGAGUUUUUCUUUUCCACUGUCGCCAAGUGCUUCAAAGGGUUUAGUUGAAAAGAUCUGUGUUUAGUUUACUUUACAUUUAGACCAAACAAAUCUGUUGCCAAAAAUGGGCUUGUUAUUGUUGGUCAAAAUGGCUACCAGCUUAGCAUUAAAACUGCCUCACACUGUAAGUCACAAGCACAAUGAUGACAACUAAAAUGGUAUUCAUUGUCAUUUUCCACAGACAACAGUCAUGGAGUCUUAUAAAACUGAGCACAUUUAGGACAUUAAAGAUCUCUGUAAAGAGCAGUUAAAGAAUUUAGCUUCCACCAAGCUGCAAAUUUCAAGGAAAUAAAAAGGAUGCAAAAACUGCCUGAGUUCUGUUUGUAAAGAGUGGUUUGUAGAGACACACAACAGAGUAUGAG